GCGCUUUCUCAUAGCUCACG
RNAcentral lists this non-coding RNA (20 nucleotides) under Rattus norvegicus (Norway rat). Lineage: Eukaryota; Metazoa; Chordata; Mammalia; Rodentia; Muridae. The record is from RNAcentral.